ACUGAGUGAAUGCUUAGCCUCCAAAGUAAAGAUCAAACAAGGUCAACGUCCAUUGGAUUCUAUGACAUGUGACGUAUGUUACCCUGUAAGAUGAUAACUAAGAAUGACACAUGGUACAAACUAUUCCUUUUUAAUAACCCUGUUAACUCAACUAAUAAUUUGCAUAAUUUUUUUUACCAAAAUUGGAGCAACUUUUUCUUU
Thalassophryne amazonica is the source of this 201-nucleotide long non-coding RNA. RefSeq lists it as uncharacterized. The transcript is spliced from 3 exons. Lineage: Eukaryota; Metazoa; Chordata; Actinopteri; Batrachoidiformes; Batrachoididae. The record is from RefSeq and is a predicted model, not a curated record.